RNAcentral lists this ribosomal RNA (520 nucleotides) under uncultured Glomus. Its description in RNAcentral is "SSU rRNA". It matches the Rfam family "Eukaryotic small subunit ribosomal RNA", at positions 569 to 1090 of the family's 1831-position model. The record is from RNAcentral. Lineage: Eukaryota; Fungi; Glomeromycota; Glomeromycetes; Glomerales; Glomeraceae.
AGCAGCCGCGGUAAUUCCAGCUCCAAUAGCGUAUAUUAAAGUUGUUGCAGUUAAAAAGCUCGUAGUUGAAUUUCGAGACCGGCUUACUGGUCGUGCUAUUGUACGUACUGGUAUAAUCGGUUUCUCCUUUCUGACGAACUAUAAUGCCAUUAAUUUGGUGUUAUAGGGAAUCAGGACUGUUACUUUGAAAAAAUUAGAGUGUUUAAAGCAGGCUCACGCUUGAAUACAUUAGCAUGGAAUAACGGAAUAGGACGUUUGAUUCUAUUUUGUUGGUUUCUAGGAUCGACGUAAUGAUUAAUAGGGAUAGUUGGGGGCAUUAGUAUUCAAUUGUCAGAGGUGAAAUUCUUGGAUUUAUUGAAGACUAACUACUGCGAAAGCAUUUUGCCAAGGAUGUUUUCAUUAAUCAAGAACGAAAGUUAGGGAUCGAAGACGAUCAGAUACCGUCGUAGUCUUAACCAUAAACUAUGCCGACUAGGGAUCGGAUGAUGUUAAUUUUUUCAAUGACUCAUUCGGCGCCUUA